RNAcentral lists this ribosomal RNA (331 nucleotides) under uncultured eukaryote. RNAcentral's name for it is "partial 18S ribosomal RNA". It matches the Rfam family "Eukaryotic small subunit ribosomal RNA", at positions 1470 to 1796 of the family's 1831-position model. The record is from RNAcentral.
CCCUUAGAUGUUCUGGGCUGCACGCGCGCUACAAUAAUACGCACAGCGAGUAUCACCGAGCUCGAAAGGGCAAGGUAAACAAUAGAAAAGGUACUGUAAUGGUUAUAGAUCCUUGUAAUUAUUGAUCUUCAACGAGGAAUUCCUAGUAAGUAUGUGUCAUCAUCACGCACUGAUUACGUCCCUGCCCUUUGUACACACCGCCCGUCGCUACUACCGAUUGAACGGUUUAGUGAGGGCCUCGGAUUGGUCUCGGCCCGCUCUUUACCGGGCGGCGCCGUUGGUCGAGAAGACGCUCGAACUUGAUCGUUUAGAGGAAGUAAAAGUCGUAACA